GCGGCGGGGCCCGGGCGAGCUGGACGGCCCGGGGGACGCGGGCGAGCGCCGGCGAUGGGCCCCGCGGCGCGGCUGGCGGCUCUGCUGGCGGUCCUGGCGCUCCGGACGGGGGACCCGGCGGCGGCCGCGGCGCGCGGGGACACGUUCUCGGCUCUGACCAGCGUUGCGCGCGCCCUGGCCCCGGAGCGCCGGCUGCUGGGACUGCUGCGGCGCUACCUGCGCGGGGAGGAGGCGCGCCUGCGGGACCUGACCAGAUUCUAUGACAAGGUGCUUUCUUUGCAUGAGGACUCGGCCACCCUUGUGUCUAACCCUCUGCUUGCGUUUACUCUCAUCAAACGCCUACAGUCUGACUGGAGGAAUGUGGUACAUAGUCUGGAGGCCAGUGAGAACAUCCGAGCUCUGAAGGAUGGUUAUGAGAAGGUGGAGCAGGACCUUCCGGCUUUUGAGGACCUUGAGGGGGCAGCAAGGGCUCUAAUGCGGCUGCAGGAUGUGUAUAUGCUCAACGUGAAGGGCCUUGCCCGAGGCGUCUUUCAGAGAGUUGCUGGCUCCGCUGUCACUGAUCUGUAUAGUCCUGGACAGCUUUUCUCCCUCACAGCAGAUGACUGCUUCCAAGUUGGCAAGGUGGCCUAUGACAUGGGGGAUUACUACCAUGCCAUUCCAUGGCUGCAGGAAGCUGUCAGUCUCUUCCGAGGAUCUUACGGAGAAUGGAAGACAGAGGAUGAGGCGAGCCUAGAGGAUGCCUUGGAUCACUUGGCCUUUGCCUGUUUCCAGGCGGGAAAUGUUUCGUGUGCUCUCAGCCUGUCCCGAGAGUUUCUUCUCUACAGCCCAGAUAAUAAGAGGAUGGCCAGGAAUGUCUUGAAGUAUGAAAAGUUCUUGGCAGAGCACCCCAAUCAGGCAGUAGCUGAGACUGUCAUCCAGAGGCCCAAUGUACCCCACCUGCAGACCAGAGACACCUACGAGGGGUUAUGCCAGACCCUGGGUUCCCAGCCCACUCUCUACCAGAUCCCUAGCCUCUACUGCUCCUAUGAGACCAAUUCCAGCCCCUACCUGCUGCUUCAGCCUGUCCGGAAGGAGGUCAUUCACCUGGAGCCCUAUGUUGUUCUCUACCAUGACUUUGUCAGUGACUUGGAGGCUCAGAAAAUUAGAGGGCUUGCAGAACCGUGGCUUCAGAGAUCUGUGGUGGCAUCAGGUGAAAAGCAGUUGCCAGUGGAGUACCGCAUCAGCAAAAGUGCCUGGCUGAAGGACACCGUUGACCCAAUGCUGGUGACCCUUGACCAUCGCAUUGCUGCCCUCACAGGCCUUGAUGUCCAGCCUCCCUAUGCAGAGUAUCUCCAGGUGGUGAACUAUGGAAUCGGUGGGCACUAUGAGCCUCACUUUGACCACGCUACGUCUCCAACCAGCCCACUGUACAGAAUGAAGUCUGGGAACCGAGUUGCAACAUUUAUGAUCUACCUGAGCUCCGUGGAAGCUGGAGGAGCCACAGCCUUCAUCUAUGCCAACUUCAGCAUGCCUGUGGUCAAGUCCUGUGCUUCCAACGGACUGAAUUCUGGGCUGGCCCUCCCCGGGGCGGGCCUCUCGUUUCCAGAACGCAGCUCUGUUUUGGUGGAACCUGCACAGGAGUGGUGAAGGCGAUGGUGACACACUUCACGCUGGCUGUCCUGUCCUGGUCGGAGAUAAGUGGGUGGCCAACAAGUGGAUACACGAGUAUGGGCAAGAAUUCCGCAGACCCUGCAGCCCAAGCCCCGAAGACUAAAAUGUUGGCAGAGGGGAGCCCGUGGAUCCGUGGCUUUCCAGAGAAGCCAGAAGCCAAAAGCCAGAGUAAGAGAGGAGAGAGGGGAGCACCCUGCUGGAGGACGGCCUCCUCGGCAUUGCCUGUUCCUUGCAAAUAGGAGACAGGAAGUGGUCUUUACCAGGGAACACC
Manis pentadactyla (Chinese pangolin) is the source of this 1921-nucleotide RNA transcript. It is a transcript of the gene named prolyl 4-hydroxylase subunit alpha 3, with no coding region annotated. The transcript is spliced from 13 exons. The record is from RefSeq and is a predicted model, not a curated record. Lineage: Eukaryota; Metazoa; Chordata; Mammalia; Pholidota; Manidae.